Molecule: ribosomal RNA, 555 nt
Filed under: Eleotris perniger (smallscaled spinycheek sleeper)
Lineage: Eukaryota; Metazoa; Chordata; Actinopteri; Gobiiformes; Eleotridae
Description: partial 16S ribosomal RNA
Rfam family: Bacterial large subunit ribosomal RNA
Source: RNAcentral
CCCGCCUGCCCUGUGACCAAAAGUUUAACGGCCGCGGUACUUUGACCGUGCGAAGGUAGCGCAAUCACUUGUCUUUUAAAUGGAGACCUGUAUGAAUGGCAUAACGAGGGCUAAGCUGUCUCCUUUUUCCAGUCAAUGAAAUUGAUCUGCCCGUGCAGAAGCGGGCAUAUAAACAUAAGACGAGAAGACCCUAUGGAGCUUUAGACACUAGAGCAGCCCGCGUUAAUAAACCUUAACAAAAAGAUUAAACCAAACGACCCCUGCUCCCCUGUCUUCGGUUGGGGCGACCGCGGGGGAACAAAAAUCCCCCACGUGGAAUAGGAACAACCUCCUUAAAAAUAGGGCUACACCCCUAAUAAACAGAAAAUCUGACCAACAAUGACCCGGCAAAGCCGAUCAACGGACCCAGUUACCCUAGGGAUAACAGCGCAAUCCUCUUUUAGAGCCCAUAUCGACAAGAGGGUUUACGACCUCGAUGUUGGAUCAGGACAUCCUAAUGGUGCAGCCGCUAUUAAGGGUUCGUUUGUUCAACGAUUAACAGUCCUACGUGAUCUG